RNAcentral lists this ribosomal RNA (836 nucleotides) under Debaryomyces hansenii. RNAcentral describes it as "LSU rRNA". It matches the Rfam family "Eukaryotic large subunit ribosomal RNA", at positions 76 to 931 of the family's 3401-position model. Lineage: Eukaryota; Fungi; Ascomycota; Pichiomycetes; Serinales; Debaryomycetaceae. The record is from RNAcentral.
UGCCUUAGUAACGGCGAGUGAAGCGGCAAAAGCUCAAAUUUGAAAUCUGGCACCUUCGGUGUCCGAGUUGUAAUUUGAAGAAGGUAACUUUGGAGUUGGCUCUUGUCUAUGUUCCUUGGAACAGGACGUCACAGAGGGUGAGAAUCCCGUGCGAUGAGAUGCCCAAUUCUAUGUAAAGUGCUUUCGAAGAGUCGAGUUGUUUGGGAAUGCAGCUCUAAGUGGGUGGUAAAUUCCAUCUAAAGCUAAAUAUUGGCGAGAGACCGAUAGCGAACAAGUACAGUGAUGGAAAGAUGAAAAGAACUUUGAAAAGAGAGUGAAAAAGUACGUGAAAUUGUUGAAAGGGAAGGGCUUGAGAUCAGACUUGGUAUUUUGCGAUCCUUUCCUUCUUGGUUGGGUUCUCCGCAGCUUACUGGGCCAGCAUCGGUUUGGAUGGUAGGAUAAUGACUAAGGAAUGUGGCUCUACUUCGGUGGAGUGUUAUAGCCUUGGUUGAUACUGCCUGUCUAGACCGAGGACUGCGUCUUUGACUAGGAUGUUGGCAUAAUGAUCUUAAGCCACCCGUCUUGAAACACGGACCAAGGAGUCUAACGUCUAUGCGAGUGUUUGGGUGUAAAACCCGUACGCGUAAUGAAAGUGAACGUAGGUGAGAGCUCUUAAGAGUGCAUCAUCGACCGAUCCUGAUGUCUUCGGAUGGAUUUGAGUAAGAGCAUAGCUGUUGGGACCCGAAAGAUGGUGAACUAUGCCUGAAUAGGGUGAAGCCAGAGGAAACUCUGGUGGAGGCUCGUAGCGGUUCUGACGUGCAAAUCGAUCGUCGAAUUUGGGUAUAGGGGCGAAAGAC